GGAGCAUGUGAAAAGCCCUUUAUAUUGAGAAAGCUUGGGAGAAGUAGAACUCAUUUUUUUAGAUGAUUUGUACGUGUUUGUUCAAAAGUGUAACUUUGGGUUCAAUGUUGGGGUAAAAGAUUUUUGGACAUAUCAAACAAUUCAUUUCCUGCAUUCUAGUUAGUUUUUUUUGCCAGAAUUUGUGCCUUUUCUGCAUCAAGUUAUGUUUCAAAUGUGGUAUUUAUCUGAAGGAAAUUAUAACCUUAAAAUUAUAAUAUUUUUGAGGGGGUUGCACUGUUUAGUCUUGAUUAUGGAGGUUGUUACAUGCUGUUUGUGAAAGGCAAUGUGGAGAAAAGCAGUGACACAAAUUAAUAGCAUUGAGAUUAUUAUUAUUAUUAUUGAUUUACUACAAUCAAAUCCUUUUCUUUUAAAUGAAUGCUGAAUGUCAGACAGUAGGGGGCAGCGUUUAGCUACAGCUGCGUCAGUGACUACACCUCCAGUUGGGAGAAAAAAAGCCGCCUCCUUCCAAAGGAUCUGCCUGGGAUAUGUGGUGUUGAAUGUAUGGACCGUGAUGAAUUUGUGUAUGAUGCCUUCCAGGGGUGAGUAAGCUCCAGUUAAACCAGCGACUGUGCAUUCCCUGAGCCAGUCACACAGGGAUAUAUGUUAAGGUGUGGACUUAAUUGAAACAGUAUGUUCAUUUGAAAUGAAUAAAUGUACUCUCUGAUAAACU
Long non-coding RNA from Etheostoma cragini (Arkansas darter), 709 nucleotides. RefSeq lists it as uncharacterized. The record is from RefSeq and is a predicted model, not a curated record. The transcript has 4 exons. NCBI's taxonomy places the organism in Eukaryota, Metazoa, Chordata, Actinopteri, Perciformes, Percidae.